UGGCCUACGGGACGCAGCAGUGGGGAAUAUUGCACAAUGGGGGAAACCCUGAUGCAGCGACGCCGCGUGAGUGAAGAAGUAUUUCGGUAUGUAAAGCUCUAUCAGCAGGGAAGAAAAAAGACGGUACCCGACUAAGAAGCCCCGGCUAACUACGUGCCAGCAGCCGCGGUAAUACGUAGGGGGCAAGCGUUAUCCGGAUUUACUGGGUGUAAAGGGAGCGCAGGCGGCGCGGUAAGUCUGAUGUGAA
Molecule: ribosomal RNA, 247 nt
Filed under: uncultured bacterium
Lineage: Bacteria
Description: partial 16S ribosomal RNA
Rfam family: Bacterial small subunit ribosomal RNA
Source: RNAcentral